AUUGAACGCUGGCGGCAUGCCUUACACAUGCAAGUCGAACGGUAACAGGUUAAGCUGACGAGUGGCGAACGGGUGAGUAAUGUAUCGGAACGUGCCCAGUCGUGGGGGAUAACUGCUCGAAAGAGCAGCUAAUACCGCAUACGACCUGAGGGUGAAAGCGGGGGAUCGCAAGACCUCGCGCGAUUGGAGCGGCCGAUAUCAGAUUAGGUAGUUGGUGAGGUAAAGGCUCACCAAGCCGACGAACGGUAGCUGGUCUGAGAGGACGACCAGCCACACUGGGACUGAGACACGGCCCAGACUCCUACGGGAGGCAGCAGUGGGGAAUGUUGGACAAUGGGCGCAAGCCUGAUCCAGCCAUGCCGCGUGCGGGAAGAAGGCCUUCGGGUUGUAAACCGCUUUUGUCAGGGAAGAAAAGGUUCUGGCUAAUACCUGGGACUCAUGACGGUACCUGAAGAAUAAGCACCGGCUAACUACGUG
This 477-nucleotide ribosomal RNA is filed under the name uncultured bacterium. RNAcentral's name for it is "partial 16S ribosomal RNA". It matches the Rfam family "Bacterial small subunit ribosomal RNA", at positions 29 to 507 of the family's 1533-position model. The record is from RNAcentral.